UCCUUUCUUAUGACGGUUUGA
Molecule: non-coding RNA, 21 nt
Filed under: Caenorhabditis elegans
Lineage: Eukaryota; Metazoa; Nematoda; Chromadorea; Rhabditida; Rhabditidae
Source: RNAcentral